GAGGUUCUGGCUCAAUGGUAGAGUGCUUGCCUAGCAUGCAUGUGGCAGGGGGUUCAGUCCCAGAACCACA
RNAcentral lists this transfer RNA (70 nucleotides) under Marmota marmota marmota (Alpine marmot). It matches the Rfam family "tRNA". Rfam says of the family: Transfer RNA (tRNA) molecules are approximately 80 nucleotides in length. Their secondary structure includes four short double-helical elements and three loops (D, anti-codon, and T loops). Lineage: Eukaryota; Metazoa; Chordata; Mammalia; Rodentia; Sciuridae. RNAcentral also lists the same sequence under 1 other name. The record is from Rfam by way of RNAcentral.